RNAcentral lists this unclassified non-coding RNA (163 nucleotides) under uncultured Agaricales. Its description in RNAcentral is "sequence contains ITS1". The record is from RNAcentral. Lineage: Eukaryota; Fungi; Basidiomycota; Agaricomycetes; Agaricales.
UUGAAUCCAAAGGAUGUUGCUGGCCUUUCGGGGCAUGUGCACUCCACCUUUUCAAUACACCUGUGAACUUAUUGUAGGCGCAGAUGUGCCUACGUUUUUAAUACACCCUUAAAAAGUCUAUUGAAUGUCUAAUUGUGGCCUUUGAUGGUCAACAAACUUAAUA